CAGAUAUCAGGAGGAACACCGAUGGCGAAGGCAGAUCUCUGGGCCGUAACUGACGCUGAGGAGCGAAAGGGUGGGGAGCAAACAGGCUUAGAUACCCUGGUAGUCCACCCCGUAAACGUUGGGAACUAGUUGUGGGGUCCUUUCCACGGAUUCCGUGACGCAGCUAACGCAUUAAGUUCCCCGCCUGGGGAGUACGGCCGCAAGGCUAAAACUCAAAGGAAUUGACGGGGACCCGCACAAGCGGCGGAGCAUGCGGAUUAAUUCGAUGCAACGCGAAGAACCUUACCAAGGCUUGACAUACACGAGAACACCCUAGAAAUAGGGGACUCUUUGGACACUCGUGAACAGGUGGUGCAUGGUUGUCGUCAGCUCGUGUCGUGAGAUGUUGGGUUAAGUCCCGCAACGAGCGCAACCCUCGUUCUAUGUUGCCAGCACGUAAUGGUGGGAACUCAUGGGAUACUGCCGGGGUCAACUCGGAGGAAGGUGGGGAUGACGUCAAAUCAUCAUGCCCCUUAUGUCUUGGGCUUCACGCAUGCUACAAUGGCCGGUACAAAGGGCUGCAAUACCGUGAGGUGGAGCGAAUCCCAAAAAGCCGGUCCCAGUUCGGAUUGAGGUCUGCAACUCGACCUCAUGAAGUCGGAGUCGCUAGUAAUCGCAGAUCAGCAACGCUGCGGUGAAUACGUUCCCGGGUCUUGUACACACCGCCCGUCAAGUCAUGAAAGUCGGUAACACCUGAAGCCGGUGGCCCA
This 749-nucleotide ribosomal RNA is filed under the name Microbacterium sp. DS_27S. RNAcentral's name for it is "bacterial SSU rRNA". It matches the Rfam family "Bacterial small subunit ribosomal RNA", at positions 691 to 1437 of the family's 1533-position model. Lineage: Bacteria; Bacillati; Actinomycetota; Actinomycetes; Micrococcales; Microbacteriaceae. The record is from RNAcentral.